AGAUGGUAGGGUAAUCUGGCUAUUGCAUCUAUCAUCCCAUAGAUCUCUGUGGUUGAUUUCCUGUUCUAGACGGGUAGGUGGGUGUCCUUUCCUCAUAUACCUCCAUGUGUGUUCCUCCCAAAGCUGCAUGCUAGGUCAAAAAGGACAACAUCUCUGACAGAGGAGGAAGAUAGUUCAGUCAAGUGUACAGGAGUAACUCUACUCCACUGCUAGAUUCUCCAUGUAAGAUCUCAAGGUCAUCAUUGGCUAAAAACAACAAAUUGUCAGUCUGCAAUCAUAUAUUAGCUCUUUUUAUGUGGAAACAAUAAAAACAA
Unclassified non-coding RNA from Castor canadensis (American beaver), 314 nucleotides. Its record names the gene 7SK. It matches the Rfam family "7SK RNA". Rfam says of the family: 7SK was discovered as an abundant small nuclear RNA in the mid-70s but a possible function has only recently been suggested. Two independent studies have found that 7SK RNA binds the CDK9/cyclin T complex (known as elongation factor P-TEFb). Lineage: Eukaryota; Metazoa; Chordata; Mammalia; Rodentia; Castoridae. The record is from Ensembl.